This 254-nucleotide ribosomal RNA is filed under the name uncultured bacterium. Its description in RNAcentral is "partial 16S ribosomal RNA". It matches the Rfam family "Bacterial small subunit ribosomal RNA", at positions 524 to 776 of the family's 1533-position model. The record is from RNAcentral.
GACGUAGGGCGCGAGCGUUGUCCGGAUUUAUUGGGCGUAAAGAGCUCGUAGGCGGCUUGUCGCGUCGACUGUGAAAACCCGUGGCUCAACCAUGUGGUCUGCAGUCGAUACGGGCAGGCUAGAAUUCGGUAGGGGAGACUGGAAUUCCUGGUGUAGCGGUGAAAUGCGCAGAUAUCAGGAGGAACACCAACGGCGAAGGCAGCUCGGUGGGACGGUACUGACACUGAGGCGCGAAAGCGUGGGGAGCGAACAGG